RNAcentral lists this transfer RNA (85 nucleotides) under Candidatus Nomurabacteria bacterium RIFCSPHIGHO2_02_FULL_38_15. RNAcentral's name for it is "tRNA-Leu". It matches the Rfam family "tRNA". Rfam says of the family: Transfer RNA (tRNA) molecules are approximately 80 nucleotides in length. Their secondary structure includes four short double-helical elements and three loops (D, anti-codon, and T loops). The record is from RNAcentral. Lineage: Bacteria; Candidatus Nomuraibacteriota.
GCUCAGGUGGGGAAAUUGGUAGACCCAUUACCUUGAGGUGGUAACGUCGCAAGACAUGCUGGUUCAAGUCCAGUCCUGAGCACAA